This is a long non-coding RNA of Phyllostomus hastatus (greater spear-nosed bat), 471 nucleotides long. RefSeq lists it as uncharacterized. NCBI's taxonomy places the organism in Eukaryota, Metazoa, Chordata, Mammalia, Chiroptera, Phyllostomidae. The transcript is spliced from 5 exons. The record is from RefSeq and is a predicted model, not a curated record.
GGACAGUGCAGGUGCCUGGAGUAGGCUGGGCUGAGGUGGGUGACAGCUGUCUGUGGCACUGCCAGCGGGGAGAGAGCUGAGUGUCUGCCCCACUGGAGCGGGGUGCGAGCCCCACAAAGGCCUGUCUUCUUCAUGGUGGAAUUUGCCUCGGUGCCCAGAUCUGGUGGCUCAAGAGAAAGACUGAGACUCUCUGGAGUGUCCUUGUGAGUCACCUGGAACCGACACUGGAUGACAGGGACGUCUGCUACAUCAAGCUGUGGCCACCGUCCACCUGCGGAACAUUUUCACCUCGUAAAACGGAAGCUCCUCGUUAAGCGCUCCAAGGAUUUUUGCGAAGAGAUUGGAGACUGUGGCAGCAUUUCUACAAGGCUUCUGAAGUGUGGAAGGCACCUGCUGGUUCCAGGGGAAGAAACCAGCACUCACAGAUUAUCUGUAUCUGUAAGAAGUUGGCAGUGAGUAGAAGAGGGAGGG